CUACGGGCGGCAGCAGGCGAGAAAACUUUGCAAUGUGCGAAAGCACGACAAGGUUAAUCCGAGUGGUUUGGGCGAAAAGACAAGGGGUCCCUUCCUCUCCCCACUGUUGAAUAAGGGGUGGGCAAGUUCUGGUGUCAGCCGCCGCGGUAAAACCAGCACCUCAAGUGGUCGGGAUGAUUAUUGGGCCUAAAGCAUCCGUAGCCGGCUCUGUAAGUUUUCGGUUAAAUCUGUACGCUCAACGUACAGGCUGCCGGGAAUACUGCAGAGCUAGGGAGUGGGAGAGGUAGACGGUACUCGGUAGGAAGGGGUAAAAUCCUUUGAUCUAUUGAUGACCACCUGUGGCGAAGGCGGUCUACCAGAACACGUCCGACGGUGAGGGAUGAAAGCUGGGGGAGCAAACCGGAUUAGAUACCCUCGUAGUC
This 422-nucleotide ribosomal RNA is filed under the name uncultured archaeon. RNAcentral describes it as "partial 16S ribosomal RNA". It matches the Rfam family "Archaeal small subunit ribosomal RNA", at positions 323 to 746 of the family's 1478-position model. The record is from RNAcentral.